CUCGAUAGCCCCCGCUUCGCCGGCCCGGACGAUGUAGAGGGCGCGCUCCUCAUCCAUGGCCGCAGGUGCGGGGGAGCCGCGGCCGCUCUGCGCUCCCAAGCCGCUGCCUCCAGGUAAACGCCUCGCGCCCCCGCUCGCUCGCUCCUUCUCAGCUUCCUUCCUUCCCUCCUUCCCUCCCUCCCUCCAGUCUCCAACCCGCCAGCCUCCGCCCGGGCAGGCCCGACGUCACCGCCCCUCAACUUUCACCCCGCGACGUCACCGCUCCCCAAGCAACCGGCGUCUCGCCGCCGUCCCCGACAAGGCCCAGCACUCGGUCGAGGCCCGGAGAGCGGCCUGAGGCGGGGUCAGGCCCGAGACCCUGCUUGCUCUACUCGGUCUCUCAGCCUUAGAGAAGAGCCCAGUCUUUUGAGCGGGCUUUCACGGACAGAACUGUUCUCUCCAGACGCUCCUCUAUGAAUCAUUCUCAGCGGACCAGAACGACCCGGCUUUUCCCCGCCCAUCUGCGGGCCUGCGGCUAAGUGCACUACAAUUCCCUAUAUGCAAUGAGGUCAUCCCACUCUGCCUUCUGAUUUACUGGGGUACCGAAUGGCAUGCCGGGAUUGGUAGUCAUCCAGAAGGACAGACUUCCCCCCCCCCCCUAAGGGCAUGCUGGGAACUGUGGUCCUGCGAGGGCCGGAAACUGGAGUCCGAAGACCGCCUGAGGCCAGCUGCGGCGAGACCGUUAGGGGGAGGGUCUAAGUUUCUGCCGAGCCUGGGUUUUUGUUCUCUACGCCGCUGACCGUCCUGCUCCAGACUUGGCUGGUUGGACUGACUGGCGGUCGCGGAAACUGCCACUCCUUGCGGGGAGCUGUCAAGCGCUGGUUACUUCCCUCUGUUCUGGUUUAGCGGUUUCGGUCUCUGAGAUUCCUGCCUUCCUUCCUCCCUUGCUUGCGGUCGUGUCCUGCAGUCAGUCACGCGGGGAAUGAAAGGCAGUUAUCUCGGGAUGAAAGGGAACUCGGCGAGUUUUUUGCCUUUAUGGUAAAUGCCGCCGCGCGUCUCGUGCCCACGGAGUCCCACACCGUGUUAGGUGGCUUCCAUGGAGCCUCUGAUUUCACAGCACAGAUUUUUUUUUGUGGAACUAAAAGGAACCCGAAGAGGUUCAGCAAUUCGGCCUAAGAGAAGUCGAGAUUUGAAUGCGGGUCUUUCCCUGAAGGUAGAUGUCAGAGUACCGAGGCAGUAGGAGAGGAGGUAGCGAUGGAAGAGGCUCGCAUUGGCGAAAUGUUGACCAGCUGCCAACCACGCACUGUCACAUACUUCCUGUGUUCGCUCAGUUUCUCACAAAUUCAUUCACAAAUAUUGAGAACCUGUGCUGUGGCAGGCACUGUUCAGUGCAGCGUGGGUACAGUGGGCCCCAAAGAAAGUCCCCGUCUUCGCGGAGCUUCGGUGCUAGUGAGCAACUAACUCUUUGAACAACUCUGUUACAAUCAUGAGGAAACAGCCUUAGGUUAAUUAACUUAUCAAAAUUGCAGAUUUUGGAAACUGUGAAUUUAGAGCCCGUGCUUUUUCUGUUCUCCCAGGCUUUUUGGUGAGAGUGGAUAAAUUCUCCAAGCGGAGUCCAAGUUCUGCACUCUAAGCAAUUGUCUUUGAUGCCACCCCCUCCAGCCUGUCCUUCUUGAGCUGUGUUGAAAAGGAAAUGGAGUACAGUUUAUUCAUCUAAUAAUUUUUUUUUCUACAUUGUGCUAAGUAUUCUGCUAGACUUUGGGAAUUUGGAGGUUAAAAAAAAAAAAAAAAAAAAAAAACACUAAGCCUGUGGGACUUUUGGUUUUUCUGAGGUUUAUACUUUUCAUGGAGCAAACAUUUAUUGAGCAUAUUGUUGAGCCCCAGGCAUCAUGGUGUGUUAGUCAGCUUUCCAUUACUAUUACAGAAUACCUGAAAUAACCUAAUAAGGGAAAAGAUUUAUUUUGGCUCAUAAUUUUAAUGAAUGGUUGAUUGGCCCCCACUGCCUUUGGGCCUGUGGUGGGAAGUUGAGGUGGAAGAAACUGCUCACUCAUAGCAACUAGGAAGCAAAGAAGUAGAUUAAGGGGCAGGAGUCCCAAUGUCCUCUGUACACCAUUCCCCAAUGACUUAACUUCCUUCAACUAGGUCUCACUAACUAUCAGUAGUGCCAUGGGCUGGAGACCAAGCUUUACCACAUGGUACUUUGAGGGACAUUUCAGAUCUAAAUUAUGAGCAGGAUAAGUGCUGCAUCUGUAAUGAAUUGUAGGAAAGAUUUAAUCCAUCUCUUGAAAAAGCACUCUUAGGUCAUGAAACCGUAAGCCACAAUCCUAAGAUGAUAAUAAUAUCUUGCAAUUAUUAACAGUUUAUAAAACAUUUUAAUAUACAGUAUCUCAAUGGAUCAUUGAAGAAGGUAUUGUCCUCACUUCAUAGAUAAGAAAACAGGGUCAUGUGAAUUAAUUAACAUCAAUGGGACUGAAACUUUUAGCUGUUGACAAAUAUUUGGAUACCUACUCUGUGUCCAGUAAUGUACUAAGUGCUUUUUGGGUAACCUUAUAUUUAUUUUUGGAAUAAGGUUCUCCUGAAGAGGAUAUUAACAAACAAUUAUCCCAGUAAAGAUGUUUCCUUUAAAAAGGGUCUUACACGUGUCUUGGAAGUGUCUGUCUGCUAGAAAUAAGCUAUGUUUUUAUGCUUUCAAUCCUAUACUUCUAAAAAGAGAUGGAAAAAAUGUGAAAUCACAUGAAUUAAUGGCUUGAGAAAUUGUAUUUUAGUAAUUUUAAUUGUUAAUAUUCUGAUUUCAUAAUGAAAGGAUCUUUGAUUGUAAUUCAAGUCAUCCUUUAACCACUGAUGAGACUCUGGUCCCUGAAAAAUUAAAUGGUUUGUCCAAAGUCAAUAGUGAAAAGCAGACACUGGGACAAAGCCUAGACUAGCCACUUCAUCACUGUACCUCCGUAAGUAUUAGUUAUGUGAGACUUUCAGUGACCAGAGACUUUUGUCCAGCACUCACUCCAGUACGUAUGGAUUUUUAGGUGGCAUGGUACCAAGGAAUUAGGAUUUAGAGCCUUCGUGAUCAAAGCAAUAAGUCACUUAUUCUCAAGUCAGUGCUCUGAGAGAAUGUAAUAACAUAGAUGAAUAGUGCCUCACUAUGGUCAAAAUAUAUUCACAUGAAUAUCUGAUUUAACCCUUAUAAUAACUGAAAAUGUAAGGUUAAUAGGACAGGCACUAUCUUCUUUCUUACAGAGAAAGGGGAAGUUCAGGGUGUCUAUUAGCUUACUCAUGAGCAAAUAAGUCUGCUAAUAAGUGGUAUCAUUAAGGGGUAAGUGCUUUGGGCUCUGAUAACAAAAUGUUAUGGACUUUCAAGUUAGUGCCAAUGAAAAAGCCUGCAAAUAGAUACUAGUCAUUUAUUUUGGACUUUGAUAUAUCCUGCUGUGGCAUUUCCUCUUGCCAUGACAAUGGACUCGUUGGAAUGUGCCAAAUUCAAGGUCUUUAAGGAGUACCUGGUGCUAACAGCUUUUAAAAUCCACACUUCCACUUGCAAUACUUCUGUAUGUUUUCUUUAGAAUAAAGCAGAAAUUUAGAAAUUAAACAAAUCAGUCUAGUGAUUGCAACUCCAGAAUUGGAGUUCAGAGCAUUAUAUUCAUUUAAGGUGAGGUAGUAUAAAAAACAAAAACAAACAAACAACAACAACAACAAAAAAACAAAAAAAUGAUAGGUAGAAAGGAGACAAAGGAUGAAAAAGGAAAUUGUAGCUUUAAUCUGAAAACCUUGGGCUAAAAUUCCUCAUUCCUUUUCUCCCCAGACCAGUUUUCUCUCCUAGUCCUGUCACUCCCAAAUUCUUGAGAAAUCUGUAAAUGUUAAAGUUACUGUAAAUUCACUCACAAUGUUAAAGUUACUGAACAUUCACUCACUUAUGAAAAUUGCCUGGUGCACUGUGAAUUUGCCUACACAAUGUACUAACACAUGUAUUUUUAGAUUAGAUCAAACAAAGGGAGAUAUCAUAUUUUAAGGAAUCUGUAAUAUAGGGUACAUUGCCAAGGUUAUCUGCUGAUCAGAUAGAAGAGACAAUGUCAACCUAAAGACCCUGAGAAUGGCCAGACCACCAUAAACUGUAUUGUGAUCACCAGGCUGAUGUCAUACCCACAUACCAUUCCAUGCCCAUCCUUCAUAAAGCUUUCUUUAGAAGUCUGAGAUUCCAAAGCACUCUUCUCACUCUCAAGAUAACUGGCAUUCUUCCCUAAAAAUAUGAAUAAUCACCUUUCACUUUUUUUUUUUUAAUACCAGAGAUUGAACCCAGAGGCGCUUAUCCACUAAGCCACAUCCCCAGCCCUUUUUUUGUAUUUUAUUUAGAGACAGGGUUUCACUGAGUUGCUUAGAGCCUCAGUAAGUUGCUGAGGCUGGCUUUGAACUCACAAUUAUCCUGCCUCAGCCUCUGGAGCCACUGGGAUUACAAGUGUGUGUCCCUCCCCCCCCCCCAAGUAGAGGUUUCUUCGCCUCCUCAAGCACCCUAAUGGUGACAAAGACACCACCUAUGUGAGGCCACUCAUUCCAGUAUCCUCAGCUAUAAAACAAAGGAAUUGAUCCAAGUAUUAUUUUUCUCUUAGUUCUAAAAUUUUGUGAUUUUAAAACAAAAAACAUUGAUUAGAUAUGUUCAAUCUUAAGAAAAAUGUAUUAAUAAGAGGGUUUGCAUACAUCAACUACAAAUACUAUGAUAUAUGCAAAUUAUUGCUUGAGCAUACCCACAAAGAUUCUACUUCAGUUGAAAUAAGCCAGUAGGAUUGAAAACCACUUAACCAAUAUUUUGGUAAAGGAUCAACCACUGGACUAGAUUUUAAACUCAUGUGCUUAUAACUUAGUCUUUGAGAAAUUAGAAUAACCUGGCAAAAUGUAAGUUACUCUUUUCUUUUUCUACCAAGAAUGAAGACUCAGGCUUGGCAUGUAGUGGUAAAAUGCUUGCCUAGCAUGUGCAAGGCCCUGAGUGUUUAAUCCCCAGCACCAUAAAAAAGAAAAAAGAAUGAAGUCAACCUUUCAGCAAAGCUGAUCAAUAUAAUUUUUUAAAAAGAAAUACUUAGUGCUCUUUGGAGCACAGCAUUGUCUUAGACAUCAUGAAAAUUAAAAAGUAGAAAUAAUUGAUCCUCUUUUGUGGAUGUAAGAUACAAUAAAUUGAUUUUACUGAUAAGGAAAUUGUACAUAGUUACUGUACAGAUCAAAGCAAGAUAAACUUAAUUGGAAGGGGAGAAUCAGAGAAGCCUUCUUGGAGGAGUUGAGCUAUAGAGAAUGAUGAAGAGAGUUUAAGAGAGCUCCCAGACUGGGAAAAUGCUGUGUGAACAGGUCAGGAGGCCAAAAUUAAGAUGUUUAUUGACAGAUGAUACUGACUUGGUUAAACUUGAAAGCCAGCCACGGAUUUCUUAGAGAUCAGUUUGGUCAGUGGGAUAAACCUGAGAGAUAUUUCAUAAUCAUUGAUGGCUUUAUUACCAGCCAGUCCAGCUUCAGUUUAUAAUGUGUUACAUUCCUGAAAACAACCCUACAAUGCCAAAUGACAUAAAAUUAAGUAAAAUGGGGAGACAGGAAAGGAGGGAGGGUCUGUUGCUGGCUGGCUUCAGAUCCUUAUGCACAUUUUGUCUCUGGAUUCCAUUUAGAAAAUUAAAUAGGAUGUAGAUGACUUCAAAAUUUUUUUAACACUUAAACAUUUAUGAUCACUUGAUCCCAGCCUUUCAGUACCUUUAUGAGAUUCCUUAGUAAUGUUUUCAGUAUUCUCGUUGAGCCUGUUCCAUUAGUCCUUGGCAGAUUUACCUAUAGUUGUUUAAUAGUGACUGUUUACAGUGGGGCUCUCACAUGAAAUGGGCCCUGCCCUUUGGUAGUUUUUUGGGUUUUUUUAAUCCAAGAGUUGGAAUGUGGGUCAGACCUAUUUGCAUCUCACUCACUUGGAAUCUCAUCCAAACACCUCUUGGGAAAACCCAGCGCUUUGGGUGGCAGUGUAAUAAUGUGUUGAAAGAACCUGGAUUGGGAAUUGGAAAACCUGGUAUUUACUCCCACCUCACUACUAGAGGAGUCUCAGAAGCCUAUGGUUGUCAAAUAGGCUUGAAACCCUUCUGGCAAAAAAAUUUUUUUUUUUUUGGUAUGUAAAAAUAUGAAAGCAGAGAGACUCUUGUUUGAAUUUUAACUUUGUCUCUGUGUUUGGAGUUAAGGCAUUUGCCCUCUUUGAGCAUGAAUUUCUCAACUGUAAUGAGCAUAAUUUCAUCUCCUCCACAGGAUGUUGAAAGAGUUAAAAGAGAUGGCUGUCGAAGUAGCUGGCACAGGAGACCUGGCAAGGAGUGACCACUCAAGUGUUAACUGAACUGGAUUGAAAAACUGAACAUUCCUCACAAGGAAUGCUGUGAAGAUUCAGGACUCAAGGCUGUUAUUCCUAUGGGAGCCUAAAUGCAUGAAUUUUCAGUUGUUGGUGCUGUGGCUGCGGUUGUUUUUAACAACAACAAAAAACAAAAAGUAAUUCCAACUGCUUUGGUAUUUAAGCCUUUGGAAUAACAUCUUUAACACUGAUAUGGUAUAAAAUUUUGAGAUCAUGACUGGUUUUGUGGGGGGGGGGGUGUGUGAGAUAAGGAGUCUAAAAUGCUCCUUCAGCCCCCUCCCCAUAUCAAUGCCUUUGCAUUCUCACAACUCUUCUUCCCACCACCUUUUGCAGUAAAGCAUUAAUUUACUUACCAACAUUUGAUUAAACUCUUAAGGUUCAACCCUAGAGGAGGUGGCAGUGGACAAAGAAUUAUUGUCAUUCAUCAUCAACACAUUUUAGACUUCCCCUCCAGUUGCCUAUGAAGGAUUAGCAUUUUCCUGAAAGGAGGAGGACAGAAUAAAUUGCAUCUACGGCCAAAGAACUGCCAACUCCUUUCAGCUGGGGGCACAUACCGGGAGCUUUUCCCAUAUUAGUCAGCUUUAUCUCAACUUUUGGGCAGGGCCUACAUCUGAAUUUCAUGGGUUUCAGGGUCAGUCAAAACAGAAUUGUAGGGUUGUUGAGGUCAGAGGCCACCUCUGUCAAAGGGUAGUGACCUUAACAGCAAGAGGUAGUCAGGCCUCCUCUUUCUCCCCCACCGCACCCCACCCCACCCCAAUGACUUCAUUCCAGCCAGUGCUUGGCUCAUUGCUCCUCCCCUGCAGAGCUUUUUUCAACCUGGUAAUAAAAAAUCCUCCUGUG
RNAcentral lists this long non-coding RNA (7159 nucleotides) under Marmota monax (woodchuck). Lineage: Eukaryota; Metazoa; Chordata; Mammalia; Rodentia; Sciuridae. The record is from RNAcentral.